GAUGAACGCUGGCGGCGUGCCUAAUACAUGCAAGUCGAGCGAACAGACGAGGAGCUUGCUCCUCUGACGUUAGCGGCGGACGGGUGAGUAACACGUGGAUAACCUACCUAUAAGACUGGGAUAACUUCGGGAAACCGGAGCUAAUACCGGAUAAUAUAUUGAACCGCAUGGUUCAAUAGUGAAAGACGGUUUUGCUGUCACUUAUAGAUGGAUCCGCGCCGCAUUAGCUAGUUGGUAAGGUAACGGCUUACCAAGGCGACGAUGCGUAGCCGACCUGAGAGGGUGAUCGGCCACACUGGAACUGAGACACGGUCCAGACUCCUACGGGAGGCAGCAGUAGGGAAUCUUCCGCAAUGGGCGAAAGCCUGACGGAGCAACGCCGCGUGAGUGAUGAAGGUCUUCGGAUCGUAAAACUCUGCUAUUAGGGAAGAACAAAUGUGUAAGUAACUAUGCACGUCUUGACGGUAUCUAAUCAGAAAGCCACGGCUAACUACGUG
RNAcentral lists this ribosomal RNA (497 nucleotides) under uncultured bacterium. RNAcentral's name for it is "partial 16S ribosomal RNA". It matches the Rfam family "Bacterial small subunit ribosomal RNA", at positions 28 to 507 of the family's 1533-position model. The record is from RNAcentral.